GGGUUACAUGCCAGGUGCGAGCAGGUAGUGGCUUUUGCCUGAGGUCCUUAGACCGACACGGCGGUUUAGAUUGGGUACUUUUGGACUACUUGUCCGGUUGACGCAUAUAACUAUAGUAGCAGUGGUCACUUGUAUAUCUUCAGUUCUUUCGUUACAUUGUCUUGCUACUAUAGUCUUAUUACAUGUAUACAUUCAGUUAUUCAUUACAGUAGCGGUAGUUGUACUUUCUUUCAUAUAUAUGUCUCUUUCAUUCAUUAUUAUUGCUACUGUAUUUUCUACUGACCCGUACUGUUGUUUAGCUCUUCCUGAUCCGGUGAGUACUCCUCGCCUUCAUCGGCUUGCGAUACCCACUGGGAGGGGAGACAUGUUUACAUGUUCUCACCUCCCCCACCAUUUUUCAGGUAUUGCAGGCGAUAAGUUUUGGGACGAGACGUGAGGUACGUUCGUAGCGGUCGAUAGAGCUUCUGACCGAGGUUAUCGAUUUAGUUUUUAUCCUUACUAUUCUGUUGUUAUAGCUUAGUUAGCUUAUAUGGUUCAGUUAGAUGAUCAUACUUGAUGUUUGAAUGUUGUGAGCUGGUUGAAUUUGUGGAAUUGUGGAUUUGGUUUAUGGAUCUUCAGUUUUGGGAUGUUUGUAUACUUUGUGGUUCUCGGAUUUGUAUUUAUGGAUUUACGCAUCGUGGUUUUCUACCCCUCGAGGUAGUCGGUUUUCAAAAUAGAGUUUCCGUGUGGGAAACAAUUUUCAAAAGGUUUUCAAAUGGUUUUUCAUGAUGAAUGAAUUAGAGUUCAAAAAUAAAAGCUUCUGUGUGGGGAGCACUUUUAAAUAGGAUGGUUGUUGUAUUGUGCAUUGCAUCAUCCAGCGCCUAAGGAGUGCUUAGAGGCAUGCAUCAUUCUAAGGAUUGUUAGCUGUAUGGAAAUGCAUAUCAUGCUUUGGUUGUUGAUUGGUAAAUGUAGGUUGUGGUUGUGAUCCUGUUGUAUCCGUUGGUACGCCGUGCAGAUAUAAAGGAGACUCUGCCCGAAUGGACAGAGGAACUUUAUAUUUGUGGCGGGUCUGUACGUCACGUGGGCCA
Molecule: long non-coding RNA, 1067 nt
Filed under: Ananas comosus (pineapple)
Lineage: Eukaryota; Viridiplantae; Streptophyta; Magnoliopsida; Poales; Bromeliaceae
Description: long non-coding RNA (ACOM_LNC007383)
Source: RNAcentral